This 372-nucleotide ribosomal RNA is filed under the name uncultured organism. RNAcentral describes it as "partial 16S ribosomal RNA". It matches the Rfam family "Bacterial small subunit ribosomal RNA", at positions 527 to 896 of the family's 1533-position model. The record is from RNAcentral.
GGAGGGUGCAAGCGUUGUUCGGAAUUAUUGGGCGUAAAGAGCGUGUAGGCGGUCCGGUAAGUCAGAUGUGAAAGCCCUGGGCUCAACCCAGGAAGUGCAUUUGAAACUACCAGACUUGAGUACGGGAGAGGAGGGGGGAAUUCCCGGUGUAGAGGUGAAAUUCAUAGAUAUCGGGAGGAAUACCAGUGGCGAAGGCGCCCCUCUGGACCGAUACUGACGCUGAGACGCGAAAGCGUGGGGAGCAAACAGGAUUAGAUACCCUGGUAGUCCACGCCGUAAACGAUGAGCACUAGGUGUAGCGGGUAUUGACCCCCUGCUGUGCCGUAGCUAACGCAUUAAGUGCUCCGCCUGGGGACUACGGUCGCAAGACUA